UCUAUUGUGAAUUUGAGUUUUGGUGAUUGAAUUGCUGGCUGAAAUGUUGAUCCUAAGUGAAUAUUGAACUCCUAAAACUGUGGUAAACAAUACUAGUGAGUUCAACAUACAUAGGAAGGUUGAAAGUAAGCCCAAGGCAAUCAAUAUACCAUACUUAAAGAAACAAAUCGCUGGUGCUGGCAGCUUGGACAUACAAACUUGUAAAAAUUACUGAGAAUUGGUUACUUCGAAUUUUG
Molecule: long non-coding RNA, 236 nt
Filed under: Glycine max (soybean)
Lineage: Eukaryota; Viridiplantae; Streptophyta; Magnoliopsida; Fabales; Fabaceae
Description: long non-coding RNA (GMAX_LNC000845)
Source: RNAcentral